Long non-coding RNA from Dendrobium catenatum, 2544 nucleotides. RefSeq lists it as uncharacterized. The record is from RefSeq and is a predicted model, not a curated record. NCBI's taxonomy places the organism in Eukaryota, Viridiplantae, Streptophyta, Magnoliopsida, Asparagales, Orchidaceae. The transcript is spliced from 2 exons.
AGAAGUUUUUGGAUCAAGUGCAAGAAAAAUUAAAGAAGGAACUCAGUGUUGAUGAACAAGGAAUAAUCAGGUACAAUAUGCGGUUGUGGUUACCAAAAGAGUCAUAUUUGAUUCAAGACAUCUUGUCUGAAGCACAUAGUACCAGUUACUCCAUUCACCCUGGAAGCACAAAGAUGUAUAAGGAUUUGAAGACUUCGUUUUGGUGGCCAGGAAUGAAAAGAGAUGUGGUAGCUUAUGUAGCUAAAUGUGGAAAGUGUCAAGUUGUUAAAGCUGAACAUCAGAAACCCAGUGGAAUGUUGCAACCUUUACCAAUUCCAGAAUGAAGGUGAGAAGAGAUAGCCAUGGAUUUUGUUACAGACUUUCCUAGGUCAAAACAAGGGCAUGAUAGUAUAUGGGUAGUAGUUGACAGACUCACCAAGUCAGCCCAUUUUCUACAUAUCCGUCAGACUGAUUCAGUGGAGAAAUUGGCCAAAUUAUUCGUGAAGGAAAUUAUCAGAUUACAUGGAAUUCCUAAGGCUAUUGUAUCAGAUAGAGAUGGGCGCUUCACAUCUAAGUUAUGGAAUAUUACACAUGCAAGUUUAGGUACAAAAUUGAAAUUCAGCACUAUAUUUCAUCCUCAGAAAGAUGGUCAAUCAGAAAGGUUGAUUCAAGUGUUGGAAGAUUUGUUAAGAUUUUGUAUCCUAGAUUUUGGAGGUAGCUGGAAGGAUCACAUUUCAUUAAUAGAAUUCACUUACAAUAAUAGCUACCAAUUCAGUAUCAUAAUGGCUCCAUAUGAAGCUUUAUAUGGCAGAAGAUGCAUCACUCCCUUGAGUUGGUUUGAAGUUGGUGAAAGACAAUUGUUGGGUUCACAGUUAGUGGAUCAAGCUACGGAAAAGGUAAGACUAAUCAGAGACAGAUUAAAAGCAGCUUAAGACCGCCAACAGAAAUAUUAUGAUCGCAAGCAUAAAAUGAUAGAAUUUGAUGUGGUAGAUUUUGUAUUCCUGAAGGUAAGACCAAUGAAAGGUAUUUCUAGAUUUGGCCAAAGUGGAAAACUCAGCCCUAGAUUUAUAGGUCUAUAUGAGAUUAUUGAAAGAGUGGGACAAGUAGCAAACAGGUUGGCUCUACCUUCAGAUAUGUCCGAUAUACAUAAUAUUUUUCAUGUAUCAAUGCUCAGAAAAUGGGUUACAGAUGAAGAUCAAAGAGUUCUUAAAAAAGAUAUUAAACUUCAGAAAAAAUUGACAUAUGUUGAAUAACUGGAAAUUUUAUUGGAAAGGGAUAUUCGUAAAUUAAGGAGCAGAAUAAUACCUUUUGUAAAUGUUAAGUGGAAGCACAGAAUAGUAAAAUAGGCUACACGAGAAAAGGAAACAGACAUGAAACAUAAGUUUCCUCACUUGUUUAAUGUUGAAUGAAAAGUAGAAUUUCGAGGACAAAAUUCUAUUAAGAAAGGAAGAUUUGUAAUAUCCAAAGAGUCAAAUUUUCAGGUAUGCAUUUUUAUUGUGUAAAGCUUUAAUUAGUAGCUAUUUAUUUAAAUAGAAGGAUUAGUUAAGGAUCAAUUAGAUAGCGGAAUUAUAAUAAUUAAUUGAGUUUUUUUUAUUAGCAGUCGAACAGAUGUUUUUAGGGAGGAGACUUUUGGAAAUCGGUUGAAGAGUGGGACCCACUCUUUUAUCCAUAUCUGGAAAUUAAUUCUUGGUAACUGCCGCUAUUUCUGUGAAGGAAGGCAGAGAAAUCUGUAGCAAGAAUUCGGUUCUCCACUCUCAACCGAGACGCGCAGGGAACAGAUUGGCUGAAGCAAGAGGCAUAAGCAGCAGCAGCUGAAGGAUUUUUUUCAAUUUCCCAGUAGAAAGGUCAGCACAGUGACUGCUUGCGGGCUGUAGUGGUUUCAGCAUAGUGCUGAAAACACUGUAGCAUAGGUGGUCAAUUGCCGCUGAGAACAGAGGGAAUUCGCAAAAUCUUCUGGUGCAAGCAAUAGUUCUGUGGUUCAAGGGAUUCAGAGCAUAUCUUUGAAGGGAAUUUUGUUGCAAUUGUGAAAAAAGGGAAAUAAUUGCAAGUAAAAUGAUUAGAAUUUUUAUGAAUUGUAGUGUUGUGUGCAUGCAAACUAGUUUAAUGAAUUAUGAAUUAAGGUGGUAGCUUGGAGAGGAGAGAAAGGAAGAAUAGAAGAAAAGAAUAUCGGAAAGAAAGGAAGAAAAGGUGAGAAGUAUACUAUUAACCUUUAUCUUUUAUGUCACCUAAAUUUAGUAACAUUUCUAAUAGUGAUAACCUAAUUGUAUGGUAUGAUUAUUCAUAAAUUUAUGCAGAAAGAAAGCUUUGGGUUUGUGUAUCAAAGGAGAAGGAUUCGUGGUGUAGGUUUUGAAGAGAUCAACAAUCAAAGAGGAAAAGGGAAAGGAAAAGUGAAAGAAGUUUGAUAUGCAAGUAUUUAAGUUUUAUGUAAAUGUUUAUUUAAAUGUUUUAAUCUACUCUUAAGGUUAGUAAAGAAGUUUUAAAGUUGUUUUACUUUGAAUUGUUUUGGAUUUCCUUAGUGGCUCUGUACAAAGUCUUUGAUGUGAUGAAAUAUGGGGAAUUAUUAGA